AAGAUCGAAGAAGAAGACCAGAUUCUGCAUAUUUUGAGUGGUCUUGGCAGGGAAUAUGACCCCGUAAUGGUCACCAUUACCUCUAAAGUCGAAGCUUCCACAGUUCAAGAAGUGACUGCUCUAUUGUUGAGCUUUGAAG
Salvia splendens (bonfire salvia) is the source of this 139-nucleotide small nucleolar RNA. RefSeq annotates it as small nucleolar RNA Z247. The transcript has a single exon. The record is from RefSeq and is a predicted model, not a curated record. NCBI's taxonomy places the organism in Eukaryota, Viridiplantae, Streptophyta, Magnoliopsida, Lamiales, Lamiaceae.